UGGCUCUCGGUGUGUGCCCUUCGGAUGGUCUGCUGAAGAGGGCCGCCAGCUGACAGCAAAGAACAAACAGAAUGGCAGAUUGCUAAUGUUUGAUCCAAACGAAAAAGUGAUGAUUGAAUCAAACGAAGCAAUGUCAGAGAAGGAAGUCCCUUCUAAGAAUAUUGCAAAUAAAGUCUCUUUACAGACUACUGAAAAUAGAGUAUCUUCAAGGAGUAUCGAAAGUAAAGAUAUCUUAACAAAUCUACAGUCUGACCUAUUGUCAUCUUCCUGCUUAAAAGAAAGCACAGGUAA
This 291-nucleotide long non-coding RNA is filed under the name Homo sapiens (human). Its description in RNAcentral is "non-protein coding lnc-ERICH2-1:15". Lineage: Eukaryota; Metazoa; Chordata; Mammalia; Primates; Hominidae. The record is from RNAcentral.